This 213-nucleotide ribosomal RNA is filed under the name Lepra truncata. Its description in RNAcentral is "partial small subunit ribosomal RNA". It matches the Rfam family "Bacterial small subunit ribosomal RNA", at positions 789 to 1044 of the family's 1533-position model. The record is from RNAcentral. Lineage: Eukaryota; Fungi; Ascomycota; Lecanoromycetes; Pertusariales; Pertusariaceae.
AGCAGUCUGGGCAGACAAUGAUGAAUGUCAUAGGUAAGAAUUGCCUAUAAAUGAAAGUGUAAGCAUUCCACCUUAGGAGUAAUGCGGCAAUGCAUAAACUGAAAUCAUUAGACCGUUUCUGAAACCAGUAGUGAAGUAUGUUGUUCAAUUUGUUGACCCGCAAARAACCUUACCACAGUUUGUAUACUUAUUUAUAUUAAGUACAAGUGUUGC